Molecule: ribosomal RNA, 48 nt
Filed under: Angiostrongylus cantonensis (rat lungworm)
Lineage: Eukaryota; Metazoa; Nematoda; Chromadorea; Rhabditida; Metastrongylidae
Also listed under: 1 other name
Description: partial 5.8S ribosomal RNA
Source: RNAcentral
CUAGCUUCAGCGAUGGAUCGGUCGAUUCGCGUAUCGAUGAAAAACGCA